AAGCAAGUGAGGCUAACUAAGCCCGACGGGUUCGAGGUGCCAUAUCCACCUUUCACUUCCAUCCCAUUUUCGGCCCAUGUGUGACUCAACGCGCCGGGACGGAUCAGCCUGUCCAUGAAACGGCUCCUUCGGUCGCCCCCCACGGGCCUCAACUGCCCAUAGGUCUUCCUGGGUGGGGGCGAUCCCGUGGCCAUGGGCGAGCAAGCAAACCAGCUGCUCAGCUCGUCUCAACUGCAACCUCCCUCGAAAAAAAAUGAAAAAUUACCCAUCAUUUUUUAUGUGGACCUUACAAGUUAUGCACGGGCUGCGGACAUCUCAGCACUCGGAGAACAUGGUAUUCUGGCAGUUACUUUCUCCAACAUUGCUGACUUUUUCCAUAAACUGGGCCUAUUUAGUCUUGGUGACUUCUCAAGAUCUCUUGAAUAUAGACUGACAAAGUUCUUGCAAAAUGAAGGAAACUCACAGCCCCCAGGUGCAAUUUUGCCAUGCCAGACAACUUGCAAAGACACAUCCAAAAGUAGACCAGUCGUCCUUUAUAUACACUUUGGAAAGAAAGUCGCACUUGCACAAGAAGCCCCGCCUCCUAAAAGAAAGAAUUCUCUGAAGAAGUUCGUCGCAACCCUAUUUCACACUACCUGGCAUCAUUUUCUGGAUCUUCUACAUACACCGUUUCUGUUCCAAGAAAAAGAGUUUGCUAGGCUUCUGUACAUGCUAAGAAGAGGACAGAUUAAAGACGUAAAACUUCAGCUUUGGCAAGACGUUCCUUUAACUCAUAAACAAAGAGAAAUCCUUUUGUCUUUAGCAAUCACUGGGGGCUACACAAAUUGUGUCGAGUUUCUCCUGCAGAAGAAAAUCUAUGUCUCAGAUACCCAUUUCAAACUGGCUGCAAGAUACGGGCGAGUUCACACAGCAAGGUUGUUACUGAAGAAGAAAUGGAACGUUAAUGUACUUCGACUUGAAGCCGAGUACUAUGGAAAUAUUGCCAUUGUGCAACUGGUCACUAAACUCCCUUCCAAAAGUAGUUUCCAAGACAAAUGGAACAAAAUUGAAGCCAACUACAAUGAAGAAUGGCGGAGAGUCACCAGUGAUAUCUUGAAGAUUAAAGAUGUCCAGCCUUUGCGCGAAUUCAUCGUAAACAACAUAAACUUCAUCCACUACCAGGACCACAAAGGAUUUACACCUCUCCACGUGGCGGCUGAACAAGGUCACGAGCUCUGUGUGAGGGAGCUCCUGGAACACGGCGCCUUGCCCAAUGCACGCACUACUGACCUCAAGACCCCAGCUGACCUCGCAAACUCCCGGGGCCACUGGAGAAUAGCAAAGAUCAUAGAGAGAAAGAUCCAAGUCAAGGACAGUGGAAAGCAGAGUCGUAAAGACGUGUCCAAACGAUACUUCCGUCUUCUGGAGGCAAUUUCCAAGGGCGGGAAAAUCUUUGCAAAUGAUAUAGAAGACAAGGCAGCAAAAGUCGAGCUGGUGAAGACUGUGACAUCACUGCUUGCAACCGGAACUCCUCUCGAAUUUAGUGGACCCUUUACCAACAGUGCUCUCCUGCUCGCCAUUUCCACCAACAGAACACCGCUUCUUCCCCUGCUCUUGGCUGCAGGGGCUCCUCUCACUGCUACCACCUCCGGUCUCGGACCCCUCCAGCUGGCAUUGAUCACUCCAGGGGUAACACCUUGGGUCGGUGUGGUGGUGGCAAGGGCUAUCCGGCAUAAACUCAAAGUUGAAAUGGACUUUGCUCCUGAAAAUUCCAUGGACCAGAUGUUAAAGUCAGGCAUAAGUAAUCUGUUACAACAUCUGGAAGGAAAGGAACCCUGGAAAGCAAAGUUCAAUAGUACAAAGAACAACCCUGAACAUCUUACCCAGUUGCUGGUUACAGCCUGCAAGCGGGGAGCCACUACUUCUGCCUGGUGGGUGUGGCAAGCAGGUGGCAACCCUGUCUCGUCCGUCGCCUCCACCUCAGCCCUCCAUGCAGCACUUAACCCUGAGCGGCCUCACUUGGAUACGGCGAGGACGCUUAUCCUCCACAUGGGGUGCAAUCCUUUCCUGCCAGGUGAAGAUGGUUCACUCCUCUUCAACAACAUGCCGUUGGAGUUUCGGAAGCAACUACUGCAGGAUUCCCUUGCAAGAGAGUACCGGUGCCUGUACAUGGAGAUGGCAAGGGCACGACGCCACAGAAACAGAAAAAAAAUCAUAGAUCUCCAGCGCCUUGCAGUUCUGCAGAUUCUCCUUUACAUUCAGUACGAAAUGCACAGCGAAGAAGCAUCUUACCCUUUCCUGCAAGACCUGUUGACAUGUAGCGAGUUGGAACUAACAGGGAAUCAAGAGGAAGAAUUACAUGAUUUAAAUGAAGAAUGGAUCACUAGUCUUAUCAGGAAACUAGAUGCUGAUUGUGAAGGGAAGACUACACUCGGCAAGGAUGAAGAGGAUGAAUUCUAUGAAUUAUCUGAAUGCAUCAGGUUAUUCUCCAGAAGAAAACGCAAAGGCAGUGAAUAUAACAUCAAACAUAAACAUGACUGCCUCGACCUUCUCUAUAAAAAAGCAUUGAUGAUGUGUAGUAAAGAAAAUCUUACUGCAUUCCUUUAUUUGCUAGUCAGUGUGGCAGGGGUCCAUGUAAACGGGGAAGUGGAUCCUAUAUGUGGCACGCAAGCUCUUCACCAUGCGGCCAUGCAUGGUAACCUGUCCAUAGCAAUGUCACUGGUCUGCUUUGGAUGUUCUAAAGAAGCAAGAGAUCAUGGCAGAAACACGCCUUCGCACUAUGCCUACAUGGCUGGCCAUAAGGAAGUUGCACAGUUUCUCGCAGAUGGCAUUGAAAAUGAGGUAAAUAACCGUAAGUUACGGCCACGUGACAUGCUUAAGCGUUACAACACCUAUCUUGACCAGCAAAGUCUCACUCUUGUAAGUAGUAUAAAAGAGGAACAAGAAAUAUUUAAUGACAGUAAAACACUGAUUGAACUUCAUCUUCACCAUCUUAGAGAGACAUGGGAAGCCAAAGGGGGUCUCAUCAAAACAGUUAUGGAUACUCAUGUGGACUUUACAAAGAACGAGUCUUUAGAAGUCAAACAAGCCAUCACAAAAGUAGCCGAAGACCUAAUUUCUGAAAUUGCCAAAGUCAAUAAGCUCUUUGAGGGAGACCUUGUCGGUGUAGGAAGUGCUGCAGAUGAUACUAGAAUAUUCUGCCCUGACGAAUAUGACUUCAAUCUUGUUUUAAGAAACAUAAGUGGUCACCCGGGAGGAGGGCUUAAAUUUGAGCUUCAGAAAUCCCCAGAAACGGAACUAGUUCAGAAACACAUAGAAUUAUCAGCUGAAAGUAGUGAACUCGAAAAUCUUAUGGAUGGAUCUAAUUUCACUGAUACAUUUUAUAACAUAGCAAAAGAUUGCUUGAAAAACUUGAGGAUUGGAGAUGAAAGGCUCAUCUUCAUCUCUCCUGGGAUCAAGAACACUCAGGUAGGCAUUAAUUUGUGCAUGGUAUGGAUGGGCCAAGAGUUCCCUCUCUUGAUGAUAGACGUGGAUAUAGUUCCAACAGUAGAAGCACCUUGGCCCCAACAGCACCCACGGCCCCCUCUCACUCCCUCAGACAUGAACACAGUUUAUCUCAGCAACACAACUAGGAAAGAAUGGAGAUUUUCCUUUGGUGUCGCCGAAAACCAGAUCAUGAAAAAACUGACUGAUCAUCAGAGAAGAGUGUUCUUAGGCUGUAAAUUGCUUUUGUCAUCACUAACGGUAUCAUGGUGGAUGCCAAAGGAGACCAAGAAACAGUUCACUUUCUGGGAUAAACGAGUGUUUCGACUUUCAGUUCCUGCAGGCUUUGCCUUGAAGAAUGUGUUUUUCGAAGAACUUCAGGAUGUGCAAAAUGCAAAUCUCUGGACAGAUGACCAUCUUUUGGAUAGAAUGAAGUCUGUCUUCAGCCGCAUGUGUGAAGAUCCGAGUGAUCCUGAAUGCCAAAUGCCACGCAAGGUGAUGGCCUAUUUUGGAGGCAACACCCAGCUCCCGUCAUUUGCACUCGGAGCCCCAGAUAUUCUUGUGUUCCUAAGGUCACUGGAUGCCUUACCACUCCAGCCCAGUUCUAAAGCGUGAUUGUGUUCAGAGAAAGUUGGUUUGAACGGUUUCCUUUUUAUUAGUAUUCGGUAUUUUUGUCUAAAGACUCUUUUUAUCAGAAGUUAUAAAUUUCUAUUAGAGGAGUACUAGAACUAUUCAUUUCAAAUGAUUGUUUAAGACUAGUUUAUUGAAAUGAAUGAUUAUAAUAUACAGGCAUGACACCAUCAGCAGCUUGAAACUCUAAUAGGAAAACAGGUAUAUAUUCAUUACUGUUUUUUCGUCUCUAUAUCAUACACAUUAUAAGUAUUUUUUUUUUUUUUUAAUGGCUAACAUGUCAGAUACAAGAAAGCAUAUUAUACUAUACGACGUUAUUUCAGAUAUUUAAGUCUUUUCAAAAAGCACAUGAAUAUGGUAAGUUAUGGCAAACAUUUGUGAAAAUAAUUAAUGAUAAUUAAUCUGACACAUUAUGAUAUGCUGAUCCGACAUAUAUAUAGCAAAGGAGAAAUACUGGACCCUCUGACCUUUCGCAUCGUUUGUUGGGGAGACUUUUUUCCUUGUUAUUGUUUUUGCCACCAUGAGCAAUGUGCAUUUUUAGUCAUACAAAGGCCUAGUUUUAUCAGUGUCACAAAUUAGGUAUCGUAAAAAUCCUGUAACAGAGGCUUGUGGAUUUAGCUCCCACGUCUGUUUUUUUUUUUUUUUCUCUCUUUCUUUUGAUAGCUUGCAAAUCUGUUUGAUCAUAGAAUUCUGCAGGCUUUUGGGCUGAAUACAAAGAUAUUUGUGAUUUAUUGUGAACUGCUCAUUGUGGCAGAUGAUAAAAGGCCUAUUGUCGGAACAGUAAAAUUUUAUGCCUUGAACAGUGGAGUUUCCUAAAUCAUAUCUUUUUACUAAUAUUUUUUAAUACCAGCCAUUCAUAAUGAUUGCAUUAUACUAAUACCAUUGUUACUGCUCACAGCUAAUUCAUUGUGAUUGAGAAAGUAUCCAUCUAUUUGAACCGAUGAUUCACCGAUGAUUCAUGGAAAUGACAGAUUGGGAUUUUUCUUCCACAAUGGUUUGUCUUUUUGAUUUUCACAACACAUCAUGCUGCUUGGGAUUUGCGACGUUCUAGCUUCGCCCGGGCCUUCCAAAUAUGGCCCGGCAAACGCACCAUCAAUUCUGAGCAUCGGUAAUCAGAACUGUGUUUAUCUGAAGUUGUGAAUAUGCAUGAAGGGGAUGGAGAUCAUUCUUACAAUGUAAGCCUUAUGGUAAUUUUUAUUUAUUUCAUUUUAUUCAGAAACUUGUUUUACUUUUACAAGGAAACCAAUUUAAAUAUGGUGUUGAUUACUGGUUAUUAUUCUGUGUAAAGGGAUUAUAUAACAUAUUUACCAUGAUGUAUAAAUUAAUUUGUAUACUGCGAUAUUGGGUUUAUAGUAAAUACCUUAUUAACAAGAUUAUAAAACACAGAUUAAGGAUGUAUAUUUACAGUUUUUUUUUUUUGUUCGUGGCAUACUGUAGGUGCUUUUAAUUCAUUGUAUUUACAUUCAUUUCUUGUUUCUAGUCUUUGUUUUUACGUAUAUUCAUGGAUUUGCUGACGCCAGGCGCCACGAUACUUUGCCUCACGUGCCCCCGAGGUUAAUCGGAGCGGCGCCAAGCUUAAGCAAGCCCCGUGACACCUGGGCCGUUUGAUACGCUCGCUGGGACGUGGAUAUUUACACUGAUUGUUUGUUUAUAAUAUUUGUAAAUAGGUAUAUGGUGUUGGUUAUAACCUCUUAUUAUACCCACAUUUUAAUGAAAGCGAGAACAUAAUUAGAUAAUGUGAUUAAUCCAAUCACGAAAUGCACCAUUUUAAACAAAAGAUCCUUUACAUUAUGUAUAACAGUCUUUGCAGGUCCUAGCCAUAUACAUGAAUAUUUAAUGUAUAGACUGAAAAAAGACAUCGAUAUUCACAUAAAUAUAUAAAAAAGUUGGGGUAAAUUUUCGAUUUUUAGGAUGCUUGGUAAAACAGCUACGAUACAUAAGCAUUUUCUUAAUGAUUGGUAAAAUAUCUGUGAUAUGAAACCAUUUUUUUUAUUUUGACUUUGGCACGCUGUCGUUGCCUAACUCUACCGAUAUCACCUUAGGGAAUACGUUUCGGGGUCAGGGAUUGGAAACAACAGAGACCAGACAAUUCACACGAAAAGGAAAUGAAUCUCAGACCAUCAAGACUACUCACACACAACAUCAUAUAUAUAUUAAAGCUGACAUUCUUUUAAACAAUUGAUAUCACCGUCUAUUCUAUCAAUAAGUUUGUGUGUGUACAUGAGAAUCAUAAUGACAGCGUGUUUUCUGCAGUAAGUUGGACUUCCAAGAUAAAAAACUAUUCAGAUGGAUGACGUGUUAUCUUAUCUGUAUUAUAUUGUGAACUUCAUUUAUUUAAUUUGUACCUGUAAAUGACCUGCUUUAUUUUCAUCUGUUUUUACAGAUAUAUAGGUAAUUGCUCAUAAAACAUUCUGAGCUUUGGUGAUUUAUAAAUAAAAUGUAUUAAAGGUGAUUAUAUUCUUCA
This 6556-nucleotide unclassified non-coding RNA is filed under the name Penaeus chinensis. RNAcentral describes it as "uncharacterized LOC125045741, transcript variant X1". Lineage: Eukaryota; Metazoa; Arthropoda; Malacostraca; Decapoda; Penaeidae. The record is from RNAcentral.